Molecule: long non-coding RNA, 1019 nt
Filed under: Gallus gallus (chicken)
Lineage: Eukaryota; Metazoa; Chordata; Aves; Galliformes; Phasianidae
Description: lncRNA (ENSGALG00010025961.1)
Source: RNAcentral
CUCUUCCCGCGGCGCCGCCCGCGUUGGCGACGCGGUGCCCGAUGCCGGAGUGAAGCCAGCGGUUCACUGCUGUGGCGCCGCCUGCCGGAAGGGCCGGAAAGCGCACCCGGAGCCGACCCGCCGCCGCGCUGCCAGAAAUGAGAAAAUGGAACCGAGGGAGCUUGUGAAAGAGGAGAUCCUUGAGACAAAGCGCAGUGCCAGCCAGAAGCUCAGCCUCGGAUACCUGGCCGUCAGACAGAACAUGGGCAUGAAGACGAGAGCAGAGACAGACCCUACAUUGCACCAAGGCCACGUCAGCUAUGCAGGAGACAGUGGACCUGCAAAUGCAACAAGAAACAGGAAGCUCUUCUUUAACGUCCGUUGUUGCCUUCGUCCUCCCAGCGGCUUCUCCUGCAAGAAGAUGUGGAUGAAGAUCAAGUGAGCACCAGGCUGCCGCCAUAUGUGCAGGAACACCUGCAGAAUAAAAAGUCCUGUUCACCAGAGAUGUACCGCUCCUCUUUGCACCCCUGGAAGCAGGCUGGAGGGGAUUGGGCUCUGGGUGUUGCACCCCACCUGAGGGAGAAUGUACGCACUUUCAGAGGGCAGCCCCCAGCCAAGCAGCACCACCCUGGGAAGCCUCAGCUUCAGCCAAGAGCUGGGGGACAAACAGGGGCUCAAGUGCUGAGCAGAGCCCAGGGAACAGAGAACUGGCUUGGGAGCACUGGGGGGUUCCACCACCUGCCAGGAAGCACCCACACUGCGCUUACCAGAACAGAGAGCUUCACGCUGUUGGGCAGCUUCUGGCAUUUCUUGCUCACAACCUCCAGCAGAAGCCAGCUGCAUCACUGCACCUUCCCUGCCGGUGGAGGAGGGCAGGCAAGGUGCAGCUGCCCCCAGGAUGCCGUGUCCCCAGGCACCCCCUACCCCCACGGGAGCAGGGAGGUGCCCCACAGCAGGAAGCAGCACCAGGACCCCAAGUCCUGUUAGGAAGGAAGUGCUGCUGCACCAACAGCCCUGCACCACUGCUCCCCAUACCUCUC